Molecule: ribosomal RNA, 253 nt
Filed under: uncultured bacterium
Lineage: Bacteria
Description: partial 16S ribosomal RNA
Rfam family: Bacterial small subunit ribosomal RNA
Source: RNAcentral
UACGUAGGGUGCGAGCGUUGUCCGGAAUUAUUGGGCGUAAAGAGCUCGUAGGCGGUUUGUCACGUCUGCCGUGAAAACCUGGGGCUCAACCUCGGGCGUGCGGUGGAUACUGCCGGGCUAGAGGACGGUAGAGGCGAGUGGAAUUCCCGGUGUAGCGGUGAAAUGCGCAGAUAUCGGGAAGAACACCCGUGGCGAAGGCGGUUCUCUGGGACGGUACUGACGCUGAGACGCGAAAGCGUGGGGAGCGAACAGG